Dermacentor albipictus is the source of this 743-nucleotide long non-coding RNA. RefSeq lists it as uncharacterized. NCBI's taxonomy places the organism in Eukaryota, Metazoa, Arthropoda, Arachnida, Ixodida, Ixodidae. The record is from RefSeq and is a predicted model, not a curated record.
CGGCGAAAGCGCUUGGCGCAGGUCGUUCACCAUGCGCCUCAUCAUCUUUGUACAGUGGGUACGAGUCAUAAAAGCGGACCAGUAUCAUCGUCAUCAGUCGUUGACAGCACGACCAGGCCACUCGUGCGCGCUGACCUACAGUUCGAACCGAGAGAUUGUCAGCAGCAGAAUGCCGGGAAAUAGAGUACAGGAAGAAAGAGGUCAGGCGUCGGCCACUUCGGCAACGGUUGCCACGUCCCCAGGUACUCUAGACGUACCCAGCGAUGCUGGGUUCUUCUAUCUUGGCUAUGGCGUCAUGACUAGGCAGCACAGGGCUUUCCUCCUCCAGGAGGGAUUUCCUGUCGAACUGAUGAACGGUGUCGAGCCACGAACUCGGCCGAAGAGAGGCGCCCGCCCUUGUUCUUCUGGAGGACCACCAAGAAACCAUGUCAUCAGCAUGCGCGGCCGUGGAAGGGCCGUUGACUCGCCACGUCACGUCCUUGGCGGGUCGUCUUCCGAAGGCCCGAUACUCGACAGCCGAGGCAACGGGGGACAUUCGGGCCCUUCCCCAUGCCCAGUUGGACACACCAGCAAGGACGGACAGGUGACCCAGUAGUCCCGAUGGAGUACCGUCUACUUGUCAUGGAGUCGAUUUGAAUGAUCGCCAGGCGUCGAGAGUGAAGACGUGGUGUGACAGCAUCAAUCUUUCCGACGGCAGCAUCUGCCACCUCGCUGCUUUGGAUUAAAUUUGGAUUUUGUCCUUU